UCCUGGAGGUCUGGCUACUGUCAAGCUAAAGUUGUCUUUUGCCUCUAGCUAACUACUAACGUUGAGGCAGUUGAGUUCCUGGAAGAAGGUCAUUCUGCCUCUCUCAAGGACUUGUCAAUGGAUUAAGCAUCUGAAUUGAGGAUCCUGUCCCAGAAGCCCAUGAACCAGCUUGAUGAAAUAAACACAGAAGUCUUGGAAGCCAUGGGCUGGAGAUAAAGCCACAAAAUGGAACAAGCCCAGAGCCCAGAAUCACCACACGAGCAAGAGCUACCUACCAAUCAGGAACACCAGUUUUGGAAGUUAUGUAAAAACUAAACUUCUGUCGUGUUUGAGCUAUUUCAUAGUUUGGAGUUAUUUGUGACAGCAGGUAGCAUUUCUUUGUCUAAUGUGUUUAACUUCCAGCAUUUGCAAUUAAGAGAUAUUUUUGCAUUUAGAAUGUUCAGCAAGAUUUCAGGACUUGCAAUGUGGAAAGCUUGAGCGCCAUGAUUUUGAUGAAUAACAGAAUUAUUGUCCUACAUAGAAUUGUAAUCACAUGGGUAUCAGCGUGACCUUUUCAGGAAUGAAGCUUAAAGUGUAGUGUACCUCUCCCUUUUGGUCCCCUUAGACUAAGAAUAUUCCUCUUCUUGAGCAGGGCAUAGACCUGGCAUAGAUUUGAGCAGGGCAUGGACCAACCUGGGUGCAUCCUCAUGAGGAACGAAAGGAGGGUAGGGAGGACAUGAUCACUCAGGGUGUCUGUGUUGAUGCUCUUCUCAUAUCUGUUUUGUACUUGAUAAAGCUUGUGAGUAAGAACACUAGGUGAUUUUUGCUAUCCAAAACCUGAGCCCCAGCCUUCUUUGAUCAUUUAUAUGUGCAACCACUGUGUAUAUGAAGUAGAAUUUAUUGUAUAAUAAUCAAAAAGCAACUUUAUUUUUAUUUUCAUUGCAUUUCUGAGAGUACACUGUGAGUGCUCUUUUGUCCUCUGCUCCUGAAUUAAAUUUAGGGAAUGUCUGAGUAUUAUCAUAUAAUAUAUAGGUUCAAUUCAGUAAUUACUAUGGCUAGUUAAUUCACUGUUGUGAUUAAAAUUUUAAAAUGCCUUUUAAGAUUCACAUUUGGUCCACUUCAUUCUUCUGCAGGAUAACUAUCUGCAGUGGGAGAGUGGAGCAUUUCUUUCCAUUCCUUGUACUUGAAACAAGUUAGAAGUGUUUAGACUGAGAGGUAUAAAAGAUCUGUUGAUAUUAUUAUGUGGAAAUAUAAUACCUGAUAUCUAAUAACCCAAAGGUAUAAAGUUAACAUAACAAAAGUGAGAAUGUGUACAUAGAGGAA
Long non-coding RNA from Neogale vison (American mink), 1302 nucleotides. RefSeq lists it as uncharacterized. The record is from RefSeq and is a predicted model, not a curated record. The transcript is spliced from 3 exons. Lineage: Eukaryota; Metazoa; Chordata; Mammalia; Carnivora; Mustelidae.